AACGAACGCUGGCGGCAUGCCUAACACAUGCAAGUCGAACGAGACCUUCGGGUCUGGUGGUGCCCGGGUGCGUAAGGGGUGGGAACCUGCCCUUAGGUUCGGAAUAACUCCCCGAAAGGGGUGCUAAUACUGGAUAAUGUCUCCGACCCAAUGAUUUGUCGACUUUGGAUGGGCAAGCGUUGGAUUAGCUGGUUGGUAGGGUAAAAGACUACCAAGGUGAUGAUCCAUAGCUGGGCUGAGAGAAUGAUCAGCAACACUGGGACUGAGACACGGUCCAGACUCCUACGGGAGGCAGCAGAGGGUAAUAUUGGACAGUGGGCUGAAGCCUGAAGCAGCAAGGCUGCGAAAGUGAUGUAGGCCGGAGGGAAGUAAAGCUCUUUUACCCGGGAGGAUAAUGACGGUACCGGAAGAAUAAGCUCCGGCUAACUCCGUG
RNAcentral lists this ribosomal RNA (433 nucleotides) under uncultured bacterium. Its description in RNAcentral is "partial 16S ribosomal RNA". It matches the Rfam family "Bacterial small subunit ribosomal RNA", at positions 29 to 507 of the family's 1533-position model. The record is from RNAcentral.